GCUAAUGAUUGAUUGUAUGUUCGUGUGUUGUUCUUCAGAGGAGCCAGAAUGCGAGGUGCUCGUCGAUCUGUGGAAUCGACUGGAGUUCCAUCUGAGAGGGAAGGUAUGGACACCUUUCCCCCUGCUCUGCUAAGAGCGCAGUCUUGGGGAGUCAGCAGAUGGGGAACAUCAAGGGACCCUGGAAGGUCUUUUGAUGCAAGCAG
RNAcentral lists this long non-coding RNA (203 nucleotides) under Manihot esculenta (cassava). RNAcentral's name for it is "long non-coding RNA (MESC_LNC006653)". The record is from RNAcentral. Lineage: Eukaryota; Viridiplantae; Streptophyta; Magnoliopsida; Malpighiales; Euphorbiaceae.